UACGGGGGGGGCAAGCGUUGUUCGGAAUUACUGGGCGUAAAGGGCUCGUAGGCGGCCAACUAAGUCAGACGUGAAAUCCCCAGGCUUAACCUGGGAACUGCGUGUGAUACUGGAUGGCUUGAAUUCGGGAGAGGGAUGCAGAAUUCCAGGUGUAGCGGUGAAAUGCGUAGAUAUCUGGAGGAGUACUGGUGGCGAAGGCGGCAUCCUGGACCGACAUUGACGCUGAUGAGCGAAAGCUAGGGGAGCAAACGGG
This 253-nucleotide ribosomal RNA is filed under the name uncultured bacterium. RNAcentral's name for it is "partial 16S ribosomal RNA". It matches the Rfam family "Bacterial small subunit ribosomal RNA", at positions 524 to 776 of the family's 1533-position model. The record is from RNAcentral.